GCCAGACUCCUACGGGAGGCAGCAGUGGGGGAUAUUGCACAAUGGGGGGAACCCUGAUGCAGCGACGCCGCGUGGGUGAAGAAGCGCCUCGGCGCGUAAAGCCCUGUCAGCAGGGAAGAAAAUGACGGUACCUGAAGAAGAAGCCCCGGCUAACUACGUGCCAGCAGCCGCGGUAAUACGUAGGGGGCAAGCGUUAUCCGGAUUCACUGGGUGUAAAGGGAGCGUAGACGGCGACGCAAGUCUGGAGUGAAAGCCCGGGGCCCAACCCCGGGACUGCUCUGGAAACUGCGGCGCUGGAGUACGGGAGGGGCAGGCGGAAUUCCUGGUGUAGCGGUGAAAUGCGUAGAUAUCAGGAGGAACACCGGCGGCGAAGGCGGCCUGCUGGACUGUAACUGACGUUGAGGCUCGAAAGCGUGGGGAGCAAACAGGAUUAGAUACCCCCGUAA
This 446-nucleotide ribosomal RNA is filed under the name uncultured bacterium. RNAcentral's name for it is "partial 16S ribosomal RNA". It matches the Rfam family "Bacterial small subunit ribosomal RNA", at positions 330 to 793 of the family's 1533-position model. The record is from RNAcentral.